RNAcentral lists this transfer RNA (75 nucleotides) under Lophiomus setigerus (blackmouth angler). Its description in RNAcentral is "tRNA-Lys". It matches the Rfam family "tRNA". From Rfam's summary of the family: Transfer RNA (tRNA) molecules are approximately 80 nucleotides in length. Their secondary structure includes four short double-helical elements and three loops (D, anti-codon, and T loops). The record is from RNAcentral. Lineage: Eukaryota; Metazoa; Chordata; Actinopteri; Lophiiformes; Lophiidae.
CACUGAGAAGCUAAACCGGAUCAAAGCGUUAGCCUUUUAAGCUAAAGAUUGGUGGCUACCAACCACCCUUAGUGU